UCGUAACAAGGUUUCCGUAAGUGAACCUGCGGAAGGAUCAUUGUCGAAACCUCACGGUAGAAUGACGUGCUAACCUGUACCGAUUAUUGCUUCGAGUGUCGGGGUGCUGUCUCUUUGAUUUGCCCAGACAAACAAAAACACCGGUGCAGCAGCGCCAAGGAAUAUAAUAAUGAGUGUGCAACUUUUGCAGGGCUCAAUUAUGUUGCCUGUGAGCUCUGCAUCCUUUUAAUAAAAAUGACUCUCGGCAAUGGAUAUCUUGGCUCUUGCAUCGAUGAAGAACGUAACAAAAUGCGAUACUUGGUGUGAAUUGCAGAAUCCCGUGAACAAUCGAAACUUUGAACGCAAGUUGCGCCUCAAGCCAUUUGGUUGAGGGCACGUCUGCUUGGGUGUCAUGCAUUAUGUCUCCCAUCUCGUGUGUGGAGUGGGAAUAGAUCCUGGCCUCCUGGGCCCUUCCUUGGGUGUGGUUGGCCAAAAAUGUUGUCCUUGAUUUUGUUGAUGUCUUGGUGUGCGGUGGAUGUGCCAUGUGUGUGUAGUUGCCAGCCUUGCUUGACUUCAUUGUGGCGUUGGGAUCGUAUGAAGCUGCUGGUUUUGGCUCUUUGAUUGCGACCCCAAGUCAGGCGAGACUACCUGCUGAGUUUAAGCAUAUCAAUAAGCGGAGGAAA
This 662-nucleotide ribosomal RNA is filed under the name Cuscuta modesta. RNAcentral's name for it is "eukaryotic LSU rRNA". The stretch from base 237 to 392 matches the Rfam family "5.8S ribosomal RNA". The record is from RNAcentral. Lineage: Eukaryota; Viridiplantae; Streptophyta; Magnoliopsida; Solanales; Convolvulaceae.